Non-coding RNA from Mandrillus leucophaeus (drill), 743 nucleotides. NCBI's taxonomy places the organism in Eukaryota, Metazoa, Chordata, Mammalia, Primates, Cercopithecidae. The record is from the annotation of a RefSeq genome assembly.
UCCUCCUCACGUUUAGCUUCUGGCCUGUACAAGACAGGAAUAGUACAUGGAGUAGCAGAACCUGAGACCUGCCAAAGAGUACAGUGGGCUGGAGUGGCCUGCAGGGGAAAGUACGUCAGUGCGGUGACGUCACAGGCCAAUGCUCCUAUCAGGAAGAAGAGAGCUUGGGAACUGCACAAUACUUACUACAGAGACACCAGCCCCGAGCUGGGAGAUCCUGCCAUGGGCUUCAGGCUCCUCUGCUGUGUAGCCUUUUGUCUCCUGGGAGCAGGCUCAGUGGAUUCUGGAGUCACACAAACCCCAAAGCACCUGAUCACAGCAAUUGGACAGCAAGUGACGCUGAGAUGCUCCCCUAGGUCUGGAGACCUCUCUGUGUACUGGUACCAACAGAGCCUGGGCCAGGGCCUCCAGUUCCUCGUUCAGUAUUAUAAUGGGGAAGAGAGAGAAAAAGGAAACAUUCUUGAAAGAUUCUCAGCACAACAGUUCCCUGACUUGCACUCUGAACUAAACCUGAGCUCUCUGGAGCUGGGGGACUCGGCAUUGUAUUUCUGUGCCAGCAGCUUAGCACAGCCCUGCGUGAGCAUCAGCCUUCUGUGCAAUAACAUUCCUGCCCCACUCAGGAAGUGACGGUGAGGGGAGGGCUGCCAGCCAGAGGGCCUCAGGCCCUGGAGAGUGGACAGGCCUUUCCCAGGCACUCUCUGGUGCUUCUGUGUGAGAUCUGGUUUAAUGCUCACUGAAACUGU